UACGGGGGGAGCAAGCGUUGUUCGGAUUUACUGGGCGUAAAGGGCGCGUAGGCGGUCGUGACAAGUCACUUGUGAAAUCUCCGGGCUUAACUCGGAACGGUCAAGUGAUACUGUCGGACUAGAGUACAGAAGGGGCAACUGGAAUUCUCGGUGUAGCGGUGAAAUGCGUAGAUACCGAGAGGAACACCAGUGGCGAAGGCGGCCCUCUGGACAGUGCGUGACGGCUGAGGCGCGAAAGUGUGGGGAGCGAACCGG
RNAcentral lists this ribosomal RNA (255 nucleotides) under uncultured bacterium. RNAcentral describes it as "partial 16S ribosomal RNA". It matches the Rfam family "Bacterial small subunit ribosomal RNA", at positions 524 to 776 of the family's 1533-position model. The record is from RNAcentral.